CCUACGGGAGGCUGCAGUGGGGAAUAUUGGACAAUGGGGGCAACCCUGAUCCAGCCAUGCCGCGUGUGUGAAGAAGGCCCUCGGGUUGUAAAGCACUUUCAGUGAGGAAGAACGCCUGGUGGUUAAUACCCAUCAGGAAAGACAUCACUCACAGAAGAAGCACCGGCUAACUCCGUGCCAGCAGCCGCGGUAAUACGGAGGGUGCGAGCGUUAAUCGGAAUUACUGGGCGUAAAGCGCGCGUAGGUGGCUUGAUAAGCCGGUUGUGAAAGCCCCGGGCUCAACCUGGGAACGGCAUCCGGAACUGUCAAGCUAGAGUGCAGGAGAGGAAGGUAGAAUUCCCGGUGUAGCGGUGAAAUGCGUAGAGAUCGGGAGGAAUACCAGUGGCGAAGGCGGCCUUCUGGACUGACACUGACACUGAGGUGCGAAAGCAUGGGUAGCAAACAGGAUUAGAUACCUGGUAGUC
This 464-nucleotide ribosomal RNA is filed under the name Vreelandella stevensii. RNAcentral describes it as "partial 16S ribosomal RNA". It matches the Rfam family "Bacterial small subunit ribosomal RNA", at positions 338 to 795 of the family's 1533-position model. Lineage: Bacteria; Pseudomonadati; Pseudomonadota; Gammaproteobacteria; Oceanospirillales; Halomonadaceae. The record is from RNAcentral.